This is a long non-coding RNA of Ornithorhynchus anatinus (platypus), 914 nucleotides long. RefSeq lists it as uncharacterized. The transcript has 3 exons. The record is from RefSeq and is a predicted model, not a curated record. NCBI's taxonomy places the organism in Eukaryota, Metazoa, Chordata, Mammalia, Monotremata, Ornithorhynchidae.
GUCACCACCUUGGGUUCGAAUCCUCACUGCCUUUUAGUUCCAUUCCCUUUUCGAGUACAGUUUCUUGGCAACCACGAAGGGACCCUCGUGCCGUGACCAACUUCAACGCAGAGUGGAUCAGAGAGGGGACGGUGAAUCCACCUAGCGCGCAAUCUUCAACGCAGAGUGGAUCAGAGAGGGGACGGUGAAUCCACCUAGCGCGCAAUCGGGAGAGAGAACCCAGUCCUGCCAACCUCAUCCAGGCCUUGCCCCCGGCCCACCACCAACCUGGAGCUUCGGGGUUUCCUUGGAGCGGCAGGAUUUUGCCAGCUGGAAUUGAACACCCUCCAGCAAGACGCUAUCAGCUGCCAAGCAGUACCUUUAGAUGGUCAAGCCAGCGAUCGUGGACGGUUCUCCCGGUGAGUGACCUGCGGAUGGUGGAACUGACCCCAUGGAGAAUCAACAACCCUACACACGAAUUCCUGCUCUACGUCUCAGAUGGUCCUCGACUGGAUGGAUAAUCUCGUGAGACUCAGGAGGCCUUCGGCCACCAUUAUCGGAAUGAUUUGUGAUCCUGCGGUGGUUACCACACCUAGGAUCAAAGAGGGGAUUGUACUGGAUGAUUUACCAUUCUGUCUCUGUUUUGUCUCCUUUCCAUGUUGUACUAGGCAAUUGACCAUCCUGUCUCCAUUCUUUCUCCUUCCAGUAUUGUACUAGACAUCCUGUCUCAGUUUAAUCUCCUCCUGUGGUAGAUCAAUUAGUUAAGUUUGGGUAAUGUUACCUUAUACGGACCACUCCUAAGAACUGGUUCUGAAUGGAGGGUGGCGUAUGGGCAACCCAAGGGGAUUGGGUGGGAUUUGGGUGUGUGCUGGAAGAGUUGCGGUCGAGUGGAACGUGGAAGUGCUUGCAAAUAAAGGUACCGGGUUCGGGAUGGC